RNAcentral lists this ribosomal RNA (392 nucleotides) under uncultured bacterium. Its description in RNAcentral is "partial 16S ribosomal RNA". It matches the Rfam family "Bacterial small subunit ribosomal RNA", at positions 523 to 918 of the family's 1533-position model. The record is from RNAcentral.
AUACGGAGGAUCCGAGCGUUAUCCGGAUUUAUUGGGUUUAAAGGGUGCGCAGGCGGCCAUUUAAGUCAGCGGUUAAAUCGUGGGGCUCAACCCCAUUCUGCCGUUGAUACUGGGUGGCUUGAUUGCGGUCGAGGUUGGCGGAAUUCGUUGUGUAGCGGUGAAAUGCAUAGAUAUGACGAAGAACACCGAUUGCGUAGGCAGCUGACCAGAUCGCAAAUGACGCUCAUGCACGAAAGUGCGGGGAUCGAACAGGAUUAGAUACCCUGGUAGUCCGCACAGUAAACGAUGAAUACUUGUUUUCGGCGAUAUAAUGUCGGAGGCAAAGCGAAAGCGAUAAGUAUUCCCCCUGGGGAGUACGCCGGCAACGGUGAAACUCAAAUGAAUUGGCGGGG